RNAcentral lists this ribosomal RNA (1153 nucleotides) under Vibrio vulnificus. RNAcentral's name for it is "partial 23S ribosomal RNA". It matches the Rfam family "Bacterial large subunit ribosomal RNA", at positions 1567 to 2703 of the family's 2925-position model. The record is from RNAcentral. Lineage: Bacteria; Pseudomonadati; Pseudomonadota; Gammaproteobacteria; Vibrionales; Vibrionaceae.
CGUCGAGCUACUACGGUAGUGAAGUCAUUGAUGCCAUGCUUCCAGGAAAAGCCUCUAAGCUUCAGAUUGUAAGGAAUCGUACCCCAAACCGACACAGGUGGUCGGGUAGAGAAUACCAAGGCGCUUGAGAGAACUCGGGUGAAGGAACUAGGCAAAAUGGUACCGUAACUUCGGGAGAAGGUACGCUCUUGAUGGUGAAGUCCCUUGCGGAUGGAGCUGACGAGAGUCGCAGAUACCAGGUGGCUGCAACUGUUUAUUAAAAACACAGCACUGUGCAAAAUCGUAAGAUGACGUAUACGGUGUGACGCCUGCCCGGUGCCGGAAGGUUAAUUGAUGGGGUUAGCGUAAGCGAAGCUCUUGAUCGAAGCCCCGGUAAACGGCGGCCGUAACUAUAACGGUCCUAAGGUAGCGAAAUUCCUUGUCGGGUAAGUUCCGACCUGCACGAAUGGCGUAAUGAUGGCCACGCUGUCUCCACCCGAGACUCAGUGAAAUUGAAAUCGCUGUGAAGAUGCAGUGUACCCGCGGCUAGACGGAAAGACCCCGUGAACCUUUACUACAGCUUGGCACUGAACAUUGAACCUACAUGUGUAGGAUAGGUGGGAGGCUUUGAAGACGUGACGCCAGUUGCGUUGGAGCCGUCCUUGAAAUACCACCCUUGUAUGUUUGAUGUUCUAACGUUGGCCCCUAAUCGGGGUUGCGGACAGUGCCUGGUGGGUAGUUUGACUGGGGCGGUCUCCUCCCAAAGAGUAACGGAGGAGCACGAAGGUGGGCUAAUCACGGUUGGACAUCGUGAGGUUAGUGCAAUGGCAUAAGCCCGCUUAACUGCGAGAAUGACGGUUCGAGCAGGUGCGAAAGCAGGUCAUAGUGAUCCGGUGGUUCUGAAUGGAAGGGCCAUCGCUCAACGGAUAAAAGGUACUCCGGGGAUAACAGGCUGAUACCGCCCAAGAGUUCAUAUCGACGGCGGUGUUUGGCACCUCGAUGUCGGCUCAUCACAUCCUGGGGCUGAAGUCGGUCCCAAGGGUAUGGCUGUUCGCCAUUUAAAGUGGUACGCGAGCUGGGUUUAGAACGUCGUGAGACAGUUCGGUCCCUAUCUGCCGUGGGCGUUGGAAGAUUGAAGGGGGCUGCUCCUAGUACGAGAGGACCGGAGUGGACG